ACGGCCAUACCAUGCUGAAUAUACCGGUUCCUUCCCCAUCACCGAAGUCAAGCAUCAUUGGGCGCGUGCAGCUACUGGAGUGGGUGACCACCUGGGAACACUGCACCGUU
Caerostris extrusa is the source of this 110-nucleotide non-coding RNA. The record is from the annotation of a GenBank genome assembly. Lineage: Eukaryota; Metazoa; Arthropoda; Arachnida; Araneae; Araneidae.